RNAcentral lists this ribosomal RNA (1435 nucleotides) under uncultured bacterium. RNAcentral's name for it is "bacterial SSU rRNA". It matches the Rfam family "Bacterial small subunit ribosomal RNA". The record is from RNAcentral.
AGAGUUUGAUCCUGGCUCAGGAUGAACGCCGGCGGUGUGCCUAAUACAUGCAAGUCGUACGCACUGGCCCAACUGAUUGAUGGUGCUUGCACCUGAUUGACGAUGGAUCACCAGUGAGUGGCGGACGGGUGAGUAACACGUAGGUAACCUGCCCCGGAGCGGGGGAUAACAUUUGGAAACAGAUGCUAAUACCGCAUAACAACAAAAGCCACAUGGCUUUUGUUUGAAAGAUGGCCUUGGCUAUCACUCUGGGAUGGACCUGCGGUGCAUUAGCUAGUUGGUAAGGUAACGGCUUACCAAGGCGAUGAUGCAUAGCCGAGUUGAGAGACUGAUCGGCCACAAUGGAACUGAGACACGGUCCAUACUCCUACGGGAGGCAGCAGUAGGGAAUCUUCCACAAUGGGCGCAAGCCUGAUGGAGCAACACCGCGUGAGUGAAGAAGGGUUUCGGCUCGUAAAGCUCUGUUGUUGGAGAAGAACGUGCGUGAGAGUAACUGUUCACGCAGUGACGGUAUCCAACCAGAAAGUCACGGCUAACUACGUGCCAGCAGCCGCGGUAAUACGUAGGUGGCAAGCGUUAUCCGGAUUUAUUGGGCGUAAAGCGAGCGCAGGCGGUUGCUUAGGUCUGAUGUGAAAGCCUUCGGCUUAACCGAAGAAGUGCAUCGGAAACCGGGCGACUUGAGUGCAGAAGAGGACAGUGGAACUCCAUGUGUAGCGGUGGAAUGCGUAGAUAUAUGGAAGAACACCAGUGGCGAAGGCGGCUGUCUGGUCUGCAACUGACGCUGAGGCUCGAAAGCAUGGGUAGCGAACAGGAUUAGAUACCCUGGUAGUCCAUACCGUAAACGAUGAGUGCUAGGUGUUGGAGGGUUUCCGCCCUUCAGUGCCGGAGCUAACGCAUUAAGCACUCCGCCUGGGGAGUACGACCGCAAGGUUGAAACUCAAAGGAAUUGACGGGGGCCCGCACAAGCGGUGGAGCAUGUGGUUUAAUUCGAAGCUACGCGAAGAACCUUACCAGGUCUUGACAUCUUGCGCUAACCUUAGAGAUAAGGCGUUCCCUUCGGGGACGCAAUGACAGGUGGUGCAUGGUCGUCGUCAGCUCGUGUCGUGAGAUGUUGGGUUAAGUCCCGCAACGAGCGCAACCCUUGUUACUAGUUGCCAGCAUUAAGUUGGGCACUCUAGUGAGACUGCCGGUGACAAACCGGAGGAAGGUGGGGACGACGUCAGAUCAUCAUGCCCCUUAUGACCUGGGCUACACACGUGCUACAAUGGACGGUACAACGAGUCGCAAGCUCGCGAGAGUAAGCUAAUCUCUUAAAGCCGUUCUCAGUUCGGACUGUAGGCUGCAACUCGCCUACACGAAGUCGGAAUCGCUAGUAAUCGCGGAUCAGCAUGCCGCGGUGAAUACGUUCCCGGGCCUUGCACACACCGCCCGUCAC